AUGGUAACUCGAGCCCAAAUGCUUUCCAUUUUCGUUGUUUCUCCCCCCUCCCCCGUUGGAUUUAGGGUUAGGGCGUCGCUAGCCGCGGGCCGCCGCCGGCACCGGCGCGGACGAGGAUGGCGUUUUCGCGGUCGAGGGAGGCGGCGGGGUGGCGUUUCCGCGGUCGAGGGAGGCGGCGGGGUGGCGUUCCCGCGGGUCCAGGGAGGAGUCGGGGUGGCGUUCGCGCGGACAGAGGCAGGGGCCGGGGUGGGGUUCCCGCGGGCAGAGGGAGUUGGCGCGGCGGUGAAUCAUGGUUCCCGAUCUGAUCUGUCAUACGAGCAACUACUAAAAGAUUCAUUAGAUUUGGUGGAUUUGGAUGUUGCAGGUAUCUCUGGUGAGAAUGAGGGGAGUAAGAAGGCUAAGAAGAAGAUUAAGAAGAAAGGCAAUCUAUGUGGCUUUAAGUCAAGGUUUAACUCAAAAAGGCUGGCUCAGAUUGGGAAGCAAAUAUCACCGGAAAAACAGAGAAUCAUAAGGGAGGGACCGUUUGGAGACUUGUUGGACAUCCGGCCUUUCAAGGUGCCCCAUGAGCUCAUUGAGUUUGUUGCGAUGAACACGAAUCACGUACUCUCUGAGUUCAAACACAAGAACAAAUCUAUCACCUUCAGCAAGCUUAUGGUGAAAAGGAUUUUCAACGUGCCAUCCGGUGAUAGACCCGUGAAGCUUCUAAAGAAGAGUGAUGAACAUGAUCUUCGCAACAUUUACAAGGAGGGGAACAGGGCUCCAAUCGCCCAUGUUGUCAAGUUGCUCACUAGUUGCAGUGAGGAGGACGUGGAUAUGAUAAAUAGGACUUGGGCACUCCUUGCGUUGUCAACAGUUUUGUGCCCAGGCACGGGCAAUAUGGUGAACCUUGAGUAUCUUGCUUCCUUGGAAGAUAUGUCUUUGAUCAUAUACAUGGAUCAUGUUGAUAUCCCGGCUGGCCUCCCAAAUGAGCAUGCUAUUGAUUAUUCCGUGCCGAGGAUAGGUUUUGUUUGCCAAAAGGAUUUUGAGUGGCUGGAUAAAGUUGACAAGAACAAGCUCACUCUUAUCCAACCUUUCUACGGGAAACACACCCAUAUCCGGAGUUUGUGCAACACCCCCUAUGCAGCACAACUUGUGGGACAGGAAGUUGGUGCUGAAGCAGCUAGUGGGCAGGGAGGUGGUGCUGAAGCACCUAGUGGCCAAGGAAUUAGUGGCCAAGAAAGCCAAGUUCAAGGUGCUGAAAAUCAAGCAAAGAACUCUCAAUCAAACGAGGCUCAACAAAAUGUUGAUUCUGAACCACACCUAUCAUCAUCGCUGAAGGAGUGGCUGCAGCAAUCAUUCCCUAGCAUGCAAGAUCUAAGGGUACCAACUCAGUUUCAAAUGCUUUACGACAAGCACAAGGGUAUUUUUGCAGUGGAGGUGGAUGAUGUUGUAGGCAAGUUUGGACAGUGUUUAAAGGGAUUGCAGUGCAGCCGGAUGGCUGCCCUCCUUCGCGAUGUUGGAGACGCCGUCACAGCUACCAGUGAGCCCAACUUCUCCUUCGAAGCACCUAUCAUGGACGAAUGUCGCGGAAAAGAGAAUGAUGCUAAAGCUGCAAAUGAUGGCAUUGGUGCUCAAGCUCAAGCUGAAGGUACAACACCUAGCAUUAACAAGGAUGAAGUCACCGGAUUGAAGCAACAAGUAGCAACCGAGGCUGCUGAAACUCGUGAGCAACAACGAGUGAGUUUCGAGAUGGAAGGGAACGUCUCACCUCACAGCCCCCCACUCUUCUAUGAUGCACCCAGGAGUGCGACAGCUGGCAUUUGGGACGACGAGCCAUCAUGUGAGUUGUUCCCAAAGGGCUCCGAAGACUACGAGAUGAUGCAUUGCACGGAUGAGCCUAUAACCAAGAAAAGCACAGUCAGCCCCAUAUUUGAAAACAUCCCCGUGUUCCCUGUUUCAGACGAUGAUGAAAGCCCAACUCCUAAUAUGGUCGUUACAGAAGAGCAUUUUGUUGAGGCAAGCAGUGGCCCUAGCACACAUGACAAGAACACUAGGAAGAAGAGGAUGGCCAAAGUUCCAGCGGUAAAAAAUACCAAGGCAAAGAAGCAAAAGGUUGAUGCAGCUGCAGCCAUGUAUGAGAAGUAUGUAAAGCAUGGGAAACCAUUGAGGAGAUCACAUGCCAAUGAACAAGUGACACCUUUCAUCAAGAUGGGUGGAUUUUACAUUGGAUACAAGAAAUUCCUGGUAUGCUUCAAGCCUCGUGGGGAUAUGAAUGAUGAGGUUAUGUCCCUAUGUAUCGAGAUGAACAACAUGACAUCCCGUGCAGCAAGUGGUACGAAUCGGAAGAAAUACAUUUCUCAGUCCACGCGGGGAUGUGAUUGUGGCUUUUUCGGGCUCAAAUAUGUGGAGAACUUUGAUGGGAAGUCAAUGAAAGAGUUCAAUCAGGAAGACGUGGCGCGAUACCGCAUGGAUGUGGUGCACAACCUUUGCACUCACCCAAUGAACAAUGCCCCAAUGGAGCGGGCAUUCAAUGAAGAGUUGGCGGCUUAA
Molecule: ribosomal RNA, 2529 nt
Filed under: Triticum aestivum (bread wheat)
Lineage: Eukaryota; Viridiplantae; Streptophyta; Magnoliopsida; Poales; Poaceae
Description: partial small subunit ribosomal RNA
Source: RNAcentral